GUGGGGAAUAUUGCACAAUGGGCGCAAGCCUGAUGCAGCGACGCCGCGUGAGGGAUGACGGCCUUCGGGUUGUAAACCUCUUUCAAUAGGGACGAAGCGUAAGUGACGGUACCUAUAGAAGAAGGACCGGCCAACUACGUGCCAGCAGCCGCGGUAAUACGUAGGGUCCGAGCGUUGUCCGGAAUUACUGGGCGUAAAGAGCUCGUAGGUGGUUUGUCGCGUUGUUCGUGAAAACUCACAGCUUAACUGUGGGCGUGCGGGCGAUACGGGCAGACUGGAGUACUGCAGGGGAGACUGGAAUUCCUGGUGUAGCGGUGGAAUGCGCAGAUAUCAGGAGGAACACCGGUGGCGAAGGCGGGUCUCUGGGCAGUAACUGACGCUGAGGAGCGAAAGCGUGGGGAGCGAACAGGAUUAGAUACCCGGGUAGUCC
This 430-nucleotide ribosomal RNA is filed under the name uncultured bacterium. RNAcentral's name for it is "bacterial SSU rRNA". It matches the Rfam family "Bacterial small subunit ribosomal RNA", at positions 354 to 796 of the family's 1533-position model. The record is from RNAcentral.